UAUUUUAUAAUAAGAUAAUAAUUAUAUCAUUAUAUUAAAUACCUAGGAAUGGAAUUGCUGGGUCAAAAGGUAACAUGGUGUUUAAUAAUUUAAAGAAAUGCCAAACUUGCCAAACUGUUUCCUAAUGUGGUUGCAUUAGUUCACAUUCUUACUUGUAAUAUGUAAGGAUUAAAUAGUUUGUACACAGCUGUCAACACUUCUUUCUUUCUUUCUCUCUUUCUUUAUUUUAAUUACAGUCAUUCAUCCUGUUGAUGGUGCCUCAAAUAUAUUUCUGUCAGAUACUUCAUGCUAUGUAGCAAAAAGUUGAAUGAAAAAAUUGCAAAACCAAUUUUCAUUACAAAACCAAUCAGGUGCACCACCACUACUUUGCUACUUCUACCUGACAGUUGGAAGGAACACCUGGCAACACAUUCCAAACGCAUAUUGGCAGGACUCUGGACCAAUGGGCAGGCCGCAUUGCCUUCCCCGGGCCCACAGCUGCCACGUGGGAGACUCCGGACCCAGGAAGGGGCGGGCAGAGGGGAGGCGUUAGGCAGCCCCACCAACAAGCCUCCCAGCCUCCCACCUAAGACCAUUCUUCAGCACCCACAGCCAGGUGUGCACUAGCCCUUCCUACUGCCAAGAUGUCCCUUUCUAAGAAGCUGACUUUGGACAAACUGGAUGUCAAAGGCAAGCGCGUCAUCAUGAGAGUGGACUUCAACGUUCCCAUGAAGAAGAACCAGAUUACCAACAACCAGAGAAUCAAGGCCGCCGUCCCCAGCAUCAAGUUCUGCCUGGACAAUGGAGCCCAGUCGGUGGUGCUGAUGAGCCACCUGGGCCGGCCCGAUGGCGUCCCCAUGCCCGAGAAGUACUCCCUGGAGCCUGUCGCUGGCGAGCUGAAAUCCUUGCUGGGCAGGGACGUGACUUUCCUCAAGGACUGUGUGGGCCCAGAAGUGGAGAAGGCCUGCGCCAGCCCCGAAGCCGGCUCAGUGAUCCUGCUGGAGAACCUGCGCUUUCACCUGGAGGAGGAAGGCAAGGGCCAGGAUGCCUCUGGGAACAAGGUGAAGGCAGAGCCCGAGAAGGUGGAAGCCUUUCGCCAGUCACUGUCCAAGCUAGGGGACGUGUAUGUCAAUGAUGCUUUUGGCACUGCACACAGGGCUCACAGCUCCAUGGUGGGAGUGAAUCUGCCCCAGAAAGCAGCCGGGGUCCUCAUGAAGAAGGAGCUGGAGUACUUUGCCAAAGCCUUGGAAAACCCAGAGAGACCCUUUCUGGCUAUCCUGGGUGGAGCCAAAGUGGCAGACAAGAUCCAGCUCAUCAAAAAUAUGCUGGACAAGGUCAACCAGAUGAUCAUCGGGGGCGGGAUGGCCUUUACCUUCCUGAAGGUACUGCACAACAUGGAGAUUGGUGCCUCCCUCUUCGAGGAACAGGGAGCCAAGAUUGUCAAGGAGAUCAUGGCCAAAGCAGAAAAGAAUGGUGUGAAGAUUACCUUUCCCGUGGACUUUAUCACGACUGACAAGUUCGAUGAGCAUGCCAACACUGGAAGUGCCACCGUAGAAUCUGGCAUCCCCGAUGGCUGGAUGGGUUUGGACUGUGGCCCUGAGAGCAUUAAAAAGAAUGCUCAAGUUGUGUCUAAAGCCAAGCUCAUCAUUUGGAAUGGUCCUUUGGGAGUCUUUGAAUGGGAAGACUUUGCCAAGGGAACCAAGGCCCUCAUGGAUGAAAUCGUGAAAGCCACCUCCCAGGGUAGUGUCACCAUUAUAGGGGGCGGGGACACUGCUACUUGCUGUGCCAAAUGGAACACUGAAGACAAAGUCAGCCAUGUGAGCACUGGAGGGGGUGCCAGUCUGGAGCUCCUGGAAGGUAAAAGCCUCCCAGGAGUAGAGGCCCUCAGCAAUGUGUAACUGACAGAGUCCCCUCCUCCUGUUUUCUGUCCUCAGCCUUUAGGUUAACUCAGUGCUCUAACAUCUCAGCUUGACUUUGGUUAAAAACUACCAGAUAACAAGACCCAGGAAAUGGGAAGGCAGUGUGUUAUCCACUUCUCCUUACAUCAGUGAAAGCACUUGUUCACUUUAGCUGUGUCAUGCCUUUGCCUACCCUCUUCAAGAUCUCCUUUGGACCUGUGAACUUCACUGCUGUGCCUCAUAGGGAGGAUAUAUUCUUAAGGUGCCCAUUAAAGCUUCUUUGCUAGGACUACCUUGCACUUCUUUAAGGAUGAGAAGCUGUGGCCAUCUGAUAAGCAGGCAGGAGAGCCUGUGAUGAAUCCAGAGCAGACAGUUUAUCUUUAGACCACACAAGCUUUGAGAAGUCAGGCUAUACUUUGAAGCCAUCUUAAGGUAACAGCAUACUGACUCAAAUGAAAUCAUGGAUGGAGCUGUCCUGCUGCCGCCAGUCAUACAAGAGGAAGUCUGACGUGAGUUCAAGAACUAAAACAUCUAAAGGAGAGAGAGUAUGUCCCAAUUUGCUCUGGACUAACAACUGAGACUGAGACAUCCCAUGUUCAAGAUUGUUUCUUUAUGGUCUGUUCGGUUACCACUAGGGAGCGCCAUCUCAUGGGAAACUUUUGGAAUAUAAACUGACCAAGGGAAGAAAACACUGGAGUUAACACAGACUCAAUUGGAUAUUGAAGAGUACUGAGAAUUUCAGAUCUUGAUGUUCUGUGAAGAAUGCUUUCAGUUUUUCUCCAUUCAGUAUGAUGUUGGCCUUGGGUUUGUCAUAUAUAACCCUCACAACAUAGAGGUAAGUUCCUUCUAUCCCUAGUUUCUCUAGUGUUUUAAAAAUGAAUGGGUGCCGGACUUAGUCAACAGCUUUUUCUGUAUUUAGGGAUUCUCAUCCUUAAAUUUAUUUAUGUGGUAAGUUACAUUUAUUGAUUUGCAUAUAUUAAAACAACUUUGAAUCUCUGGUUUGAAACCCAGCUGAUCAUAGUGCACUAUUUUCUUAAUGUGUUUUUAAAUGUAGUUUGCUAAUAUUUUAUUAAAAAAUUUUACACCUAUGUUCAUUAGGGAUAUUGGUUUGUAGUUUUCUUUCCUUGAUGUGUCUUUGUCUGAUUUGGGUGCCAGAGUGAUACUGGCUUCAUAGGAUAAAUUUUGGAGUCUUCCCUUAUUUUCUAUUUCAUGGGAUAAUUUGAGGAAGAUUGUUGUUUAGUUCUUUAGAGGCCGGGUUAAACUUGACUGAGAACUCCUGGUUGUGAUCGUGAGCUUUUAUUUGCUGGAAUGCUUUUAAUUGCUGCUUUAAUCUUAUUGAUAUUAGUCUGUUUAGGUUUUAUAUACCCUCAUGGCUCAAUUUGUGUAGUUCUUAUUUGUAGAAAUUAAUCAAUAUCUUCUAGGUUUUCUAGUGUGUUUCAGUACAAUUUUUCAAAAUAGUUUCUAAUGAUCCUUUGGAUUUCAGAAAUGUCUGGGAUGAUAUUUCCUUUUUCAUCCCUAAUUUUGUUUAUGUGGGUAUGUGGGGAUGUGUAUGUCUGUCUGUCUGUCUCUCUCUCUCUCUCUCUCGGUUAGUUUGGCUGAGCAUUAUCAAUCUUGUUUCAAAGAACCAAGUCUUUGUUGCAUUGAUCCUUUGUAUUGUUUUUCUAGUCUCAAUUUCAUUAGUUUAGAUUCAUGUCAUCUUAAUUAUUUCCUGUCUUCUACUGAAGCAGUUUGUUCUUCCUUUUAAUCAUUGAAGUAUUAUUGAAGUGCUUUAAGGAUCAAGUCACAUUCAAUCAACAUGAGAGAAUUAAAAAGGAACCUUCUUCUUGCAAGGUCAAAAAAUCAAUUACUGAUAAAACUCAUAUGUUUUAUAUUUUUAGUGUUCUGUUGAGAGAAGUUCUUUAGUAAGCAUGUAAAAUAAUACUAAUAGCAAUGACAAAAAUCAUAAGAGCAGUUUUCAUAUAGUAAGAAAUACUUUAUGAUGGGCAUUGUUAAAAUUCUGUGCAUGUUAAGAAAGUUAACUUAAUUAUCACAAUCACCCUCUGAAAUAUGUGCUGUAAUUAUCCUCAUUUAUAGAUGAGAAAACUAUAGCAGAGUUAGGAAAUGAUGAAACAAGUAUGAAGAGGUUAAGUUAGACAUAGCACAUAGGACUACACUUAAAUAUUUUUGUUUCCUAUAGAAAAAAAAGGUAUUUGAAUAUCCAUAAAAUACUCAACUUGUGAUAAUUGUCAUUCACCUAAUAUUAUUGGCAUUUCAUCUAGAACAUGUAUUGCUAGCAAUCUAAAGUUUAAGUCAGGUGAAUCCAACGUAUCAUACAGGACAAACCAUUAUACUUGUGAAUAAGAUCGUAGCUCUAAUUUAUCCUAUAUUAUUAGCUAUAUUGACCUUUCUAACCCAAUAAUAUUUUUCUAUUACUAAGGUAAAAGUGUUCAAAUGUGCAACAUAUGUGAAGUUACUUUCUAAACUCUAAAAUGUUAAGCAAUUGUUAGUAGCAUUCAUUUUUAUCUUUCUCAUCUCAUCCACACAUAUAUUUAUAGUACUUUCAGCAUCUAUAAAUUUCUGCAAAUAAAAUAUGCUAAUGAUAGACUCAUUUAGUCACUUAUUCAACAACUAUACAUGAAUAACUUUAAUAUUCAACAAAAUCUAGGGGAACCUGAACAAGUCUACAAUAUGGAAAAAUUUAGAGGAAGCUAAAUAGAUAUAACAAAGCUCACUAUCAAGCCAUGGGAGAAGGAUGGAACAAACUAGGCAGAGUCCAGAAUAUAUGAAGUUCCUGGAGGGAGAAUGAACUGAGAAAUGUUAAGAAAUACUAUGUUUGGAACAUUGUCAUCAGGGAAUAGGAGAAUUAUAAUUUUUCCUAAGAAAUACAAUAUACUGUGAAUAGUAGAGUAAAUAGGAGAAAAGUCUACAAUAUAGAUGAUGUGUUGGAUGAGUUGAAGGCUGGCUCUUAACAAAUCUUGAAAAUCAUCCAUCUAGAAAUAAAGCUGUCCUUUCAAGAGUUUUCCUGGGCUGAGGGAUCCCUUCAAGAAGUAGUAGCAUGUGAAUACAUAACCAACAACAUUUAAACCAAUCGAAGACAAAGGAUUGUUUUGAAACCUAGAGGACGGCAUGCAGUCAUUGUACCUAAAAAUUUCCUCAGUGGCAGAAUUUAUUUUACUUUACUUUAUGAAUAAAAAAAAAUUGCCAAGGACAAUAUUGCUUGAGUAAAUGACAUGAUCCAACAUCAUAAAAUGUGAUGAAGAUGUACAAAUCUAUAAUUGUAAAAUUUGUUUUGUAAACCUAGGAAUGUGAAAGAUUUUGCUUUGGGCUUAAGACUACAAUGAAAGAAUUAUGAAUUACCUUCAUUUGUGAUUAACUUGGAAUAAAUGUGAAAAUCCUAACCUGGAAUUUAAUAACCUAAUGAAGGUUAGAUUUUUUUCCCAUCUGACUGUGAGUAUUCCAAAGAUUAUUACUAACCUUUCAAAGUUAGAAAGACAACUACAGUAUGUCUCCAAAUAAAAGGCAAAUGAGAUAUAUUCUUGAUUGAGGGUUUAGAAAUAGUUUCACAGCCUGAAAGAUUGGCUUUUAUUGGGUUCAAACAGAUCUUUGUACACCAGUGAAUUAUUAUAUAAAUAUAAAAAUGUCAUAUGUCAAUGAGUGAGAUAUCACAGCCAACUGUAGCAACAUCCAGAUAAAUCACUAAAUGGAUUUCUUUAUUCCUUGCACCUUAUUUUGAAGGGAGUUAACCUUUGGCAAAAACCACCUGCUUAAGAGACAAUGAAUAAGGAGGCCAAAGAAGUCAUCAGUUGACCUUUGAGAGAACAAGAAGAGCUGAGGGAAGGUACAUGUACAAGAGGAUUAGUAAGUCCUCACCAUGAAUUUGCAUCAUUCUGUGGUAUAGAUGGUGAUAUUGUGUGGAGUUGGGUCUAAGCCCAGUGAAGAACAAGGUGUCAAUUGUUAUGUAUCCAUGGUCAUUAUAAAUGAAUACAACCUGUGAGUUACUGAUUUCAGAAGUGUAGCUGUAAAUUCACCAAAUUAAUAUUUUUUAAAAAGCCAUAAGAAAAAUAUUCUUCCUUUUGUCUCUUUCACUCAUUUACUUACCCAAUAUUGUCAUACUCCAACCAUGGAUGUCCUCAAUUUUCUUCAUGUAUUUGCUUCAAUUAUUGCCUUCAAUGGGAAUGUAAAUCAGCCUCAUCUCCAUUGUUCCAUGUCCAUUAUUUCCUUCAAAGUCAGUUCAAAAUAUAUUACAUUCAUGAAGCUCGUCUGACCAUCUUAACCAACUGUUUGUUUAUAGUUCAUGAAUUUCAAAUAAAUAUUUUUUAUUCAUAAACUCAAUAUGCAUUCAGGAAAAGUAUUAAGAACUGGAAAUAAAUGUACAUAAAAACAAAUGGGUCCAAGGGUCAAGAAUAUUAAUGUUUAGAAGGGAAAUAUACAUAAGAUAAACAGCCAUAUUCAGGAAAUUAUUGAGGUAGAAAUGUGUACCAAAAAGUCACGAGCAUAGAAAAAAAGCACUCAAAUAUUCCUAAGAAACUAAGUAAGACUAUCAUGAAAAAAUAUUAAUUAUAUUAUAAACAAUAUGUAGGAGUUUAGAAGGAAUAAAAUAGGGAAAAGAGAGUGAUCCAUGGAGCAGGAAAAACAGUGAGGAGGCAUGGAUGAGAAACUGGGAGGGGUUGGACCAUAGGAUCUCUGUGGGGAGAAUAUAGAGCAUGAAGCAUUUUCUUAAUCCAGAAAGGAGAGUUAUUUUCAAGGAUCAUGAUCAAAAUAUUUAUAACCAGUACAACACAAGACUUAUGGUUAGAAUAUUUACUUAUGAUUAGAAUAUUUAAGUCAUAGCACUGGAGUUACGUUAAAGAGGGAACAGCUGCACCAAGUUUAGAAUUUUCUCCAGUUGAGGGGAAGUCCACGUGGGCCUUGAAGGCAGGAAUCCAGGGUUCUAAAGCAGAGCAAAAGGAAUUACAGGAGUAAGAACAGUGGAAAUUUGAGAACUGAUAUUUUUAACUAAUGAUGCAUAAUAUUAAUAUGAAUAAUAAAAUAUAAAAUGUGAUAGACAAAGGAGCUGGAUAGAGGAAAAUAAGAACAUAGUGUCACUGACUGAAAGUAUGAAGAAAGCUUUUUCUAGUGCUCUCAGGCAGUCUCAAAGUUUUAAAUAACUUUGGAGAUCUCCUGCAAACUCUUCAUUGCUAUAGUCUAAUGUUCACUAUCUUAACAUGAAAUUCCAAUUAAGAUGACUAGGAGUUAAUUAGAUCUAACAAGGAUGUGAUAGGGAUAAAAAGGAAAAGAUCUUUUCAGGAAAAAGUGACUGGGCAAAGGCUCUCCAGUUAGGAUUCGCAUUAUUUAAUAUAAACAAAGGGAAUUAUCCCUUGGAAAAAAUAUUAAUCUCCGGAAAAUUUGCCUUUGAUGAAUAAUUUUUCCUUUAAGGAAAAUAUUAAAUAUUUGUAAAUAUUACUGUAAAUGGAAAAGUUUCUUGUUUAUAACAUUUUUCAGAGGAGUGUAUGUUAUUUGAUUUUAAACAGUUUUUAUAAAACACCAGUUUUCAAACAUUUUUUUCUUUGACAAUAAUUUAGGCAAUUAGUUAUUUUCUUUAUUGGUAAAUGACUUAACUAGUUAAAGUCAAAGGACAAGCAUAGAUAUUAAACCAACAGUUUGUACCAUCCCCCAUUCAAUGUAUCUUUGCCAUUCACACUACAUGGCUACUGCCAAUGGAAUUUUAACAGUCUUUCUGUCUCACAGGAAUUUCAAAAGUAAGGAAUUUGCAGUUUCAAUAAGUUAAUGUGUGAGUUACUGUACAGGCCCACUUAGAUUUUCUGAGAUUUCCUAACAACUCAUUAUUA
Molecule: RNA transcript, 7684 nt
Organism: Marmota monax (woodchuck)
Lineage: Eukaryota; Metazoa; Chordata; Mammalia; Rodentia; Sciuridae
Gene name: phosphoglycerate kinase 1-like
Exons: 7
Source: RefSeq, a predicted model, not a curated record